Molecule: ribosomal RNA, 440 nt
Filed under: uncultured bacterium
Lineage: Bacteria
Description: partial 16S ribosomal RNA
Rfam family: Bacterial small subunit ribosomal RNA
Source: RNAcentral
CCUACGGGUGGCAGCAGUGGGGAAUAUUGCACAAUGGGGGAAACUCUGAUGCAGCGACGUCGCGUGAGCGAUGAAGUAUUUCGGUAUGUAAAGCUCCAUUAGUAGGGAAGAAAAUGACGGUACCUGACUAAGAAGCCCCGGCUAACUACGUGCCAGCAGCCGUGGCAAUACGUAGGGGGCAAGCGUUAUCCGGAUUUACUGGGUGUAAAGGGAGCGUAGACGGUCCUGCAAGCCAGUUGUGAAAGCCGGGGGCUCAACCCCGGGACUGCAAUUGGAACUGUAAGGCUUGAGUGUCGGGGAGGCAGGCGGAAUUCGUGGUGUAGCGGUGAAAUGCGUAGAUAUUAGGAAGAACACCGGUGGCGAAGGCAGCCUACUGAACGGUGACUGACAUUGAGGCUCGAAAGCGUGGGGAGCAAACAGGAUUAGAUACCCUUGUAGUC